RNAcentral lists this ribosomal RNA (307 nucleotides) under uncultured bacterium. Its description in RNAcentral is "partial 16S ribosomal RNA". It matches the Rfam family "Bacterial small subunit ribosomal RNA", at positions 1 to 334 of the family's 1533-position model. The record is from RNAcentral.
GUCUAGUACUCAGAGUUUGAUCCUGGCUCAGAACGAACGCUGGCGGCAGGCUUAACACAUGCAAGUCGAGCGCCCCGCAAGGGGAGCGGCAGACGGGUGAGUAACGCGUGGGAAUCUACCCAUCUCUACGGAAUAACGCAUGGAAACGUGUGCUAAUACCGUAUACGUCCUUCGGGAGAAAGAUUUAUCGGAGAUGGAUGAGCCCGCGUUGGAUUAGCUAGUUGGUGGGGUAAAGGCCUACCAAGGCGACGAUCCAUAGCUGGUCUGAGAGGAUGAUCAGCCACACUGGGACUGAGACACGGCCCAG